Long non-coding RNA from Lycium ferocissimum, 1124 nucleotides. RefSeq lists it as uncharacterized. The record is from RefSeq and is a predicted model, not a curated record. NCBI's taxonomy places the organism in Eukaryota, Viridiplantae, Streptophyta, Magnoliopsida, Solanales, Solanaceae. The transcript is spliced from 2 exons.
GAAGGAGGAAAAUGCCACAUUGGAGGAGGCUCAGGGUAUUAUAUCCUCAUGACCUUAAGAUCCUCAAUAUUUUCCAACCGAGAAGUCUUCAUCUUGAUGCAUCCUUCAAGUAUCUUUUUGCUGAUAUCUUUCUCUUCUUAAUCCUAAACGUGGGUGAUUUUGAUAAGGCAGCAAUUAAAACUAGCUAAAGGGAGGCUGUUACCAACUUUGAGCCAAGUGCAUAUGAAGGGGAAACAAUCUCUGAACCUCAAAGUGAAGGUUUGAUAAAAAAUUCUUGCUCAUUUUCAAACUAAUGUCGCUAAUUCCAAGCAACAGUGCAUUAUCUAUAUCUGAUCUAUCUCAUUUACGAUGCUUAUGACACAGAUAGCCAACAUGAUCGUGAUUUGAGCUUGGGGAUAUCAACCGCUUCUUCAAAGGAAAAUGACAGGCUGGAAGGCUUUCUCUAUCAUCCUUAUUAAUAUUUUUGGGAAAUUAUUUUCGUCAUAUUUUUUUUGUUGAUAAAAUCCUCUUGCAUUGUUUCUUCGCAGUAUCAUGAAGCAUACCAACUAAUCAAGAGUUUCAUUUUUAAACUUCUCUGUGAGGAGGCGAGGCUGGUGUCCACUUGGAGACAAAGCAUCAAAGGCUGGAGAAGAGUACAAAGUAAUUAAUUUAAUCUUCACAAUACUGAGGUUGUAGCAAAUGAUAAGAUGAAAUCAACAUAGUUCAUAGAGGCAAACACCAGAGUCAAUAACACUGUUAGUACAUAGUUGUGUGGUGUUAGUACGAUGUUUUGUUUUCGACCUUCAUUCGUUUUCUACAGGCUAGAGAAGAGAAUAAAAUCUCUUUCUCACUUCUUUUGAAGUCCUUUGCUUUAGCUUUCAAGGCAAAUUAUAUCCUCUUUUAUGAAGCUGCAAGCUUUCAUCUCUCUGGAAGCCUUUUCCACAAAUUUCACACAAGAAUCUGUUUGUGGACAUUUGUGUCUUUGGUAACAAGGCAAUCACUUCUGUUUCAGGAUCUGACAUGAUGAUAGCAUAUUUUUUUGUACUUGCUACUUCCUUAAGUUAUAGUAUGGACAAAUAUAGACCGGCCCUUAAAGUUAUUGGUAUUUUUCAACUGAUUCCUAGAGAAAUCAGUAGUUCACUUGA